Molecule: transfer RNA, 71 nt
Filed under: Candidatus Falkowiibacteriota bacterium
Lineage: Bacteria; Candidatus Falkowiibacteriota
Description: tRNA-Ala
Rfam family: tRNA
About the family: Transfer RNA (tRNA) molecules are approximately 80 nucleotides in length. Their secondary structure includes four short double-helical elements and three loops (D, anti-codon, and T loops). Further hydrogen bonds mediate the characteristic L-shaped molecular structure. tRNAs have two regions of fundamental functional importance: the anti-codon, which is responsible for specific mRNA codon recognition, and the 3' end, to which the tRNAs corresponding amino acid is attached (by aminoacyl-tRNA synthetases). tRNAs cope with the degeneracy of the genetic code in two manners: having more than one tRNA (with a specific anti-codon) for a particular amino acid; and 'wobble' base-pairing, i.e. permitting non-standard base-pairing at the 3rd anti-codon position.
Source: RNAcentral
GGGCCUAUAGCUUAGGGGCAGAGCACUCGGUUUGCAUCCGAGAGACGCGGGUUCGAUUCCCGCUAGGUCCA